GUGCUUGCUUUGGCAGCACAUUUACUAAAACGGGAACGAUACGAUACACAGCUGAUUAGCAUGGCCCCUGCACAAGGAAGACAUGCAAAUUCAUGAACCAUUCCAUAAAAAA
RNAcentral lists this small nuclear RNA (112 nucleotides) under Carlito syrichta (Philippine tarsier). Lineage: Eukaryota; Metazoa; Chordata; Mammalia; Primates; Tarsiidae. The record is from RNAcentral.